UACGGAGGGUCCAAGCGUUAUCCGGAUUUACUGGGUUUAAAGGGUGCGUAGGUGGUUGGAUAAGUCAGUGGUGAAAUCUUCCGGCUCAACCGGGAAACUGCCAUUGAAACUACCCGACUUGAGUAUAGUUGAGGCGGGUGGAAUGUAUCAUGUAGCGGUGAAAUGCUUAGAUAUGAUACAGAACACCAAUUGUGAAGACAGCUCGCUAAACUAUUACUGACACUGAGGCACGAAAGCGUGGGUAU
This 245-nucleotide ribosomal RNA is filed under the name uncultured bacterium. Its description in RNAcentral is "partial 16S ribosomal RNA". It matches the Rfam family "Bacterial small subunit ribosomal RNA", at positions 524 to 768 of the family's 1533-position model. The record is from RNAcentral.